GACGAACGCUGGCUGCGUGCUUAACACAUGCAAGUCGAACGGAAAGGCCCUGCUUUUGUGGGGUGCUCGAGUGGCGAACGGGUGAGUAACACGUGAGUAACCUGCCCUUGACCUUGGGAUAACUUCAGGAAACUGGGGCUAAUACCGGAUAGGAGCUCCUGCUGCAUGGUGGGGGUUGGAAAGUUUCGGCGGUUGGGGAUGGACUCGCGGCUUAUCAGCUUGUUGGUGGGGUAGUGGCUUACCAAGGCUUUGACGGGUAGCCGGCCUGAGAGGGUGACCGGCCACAUUGGGACUGAGAUACGGCCCAGACUCCUACGGGAGGCAGCAGUGGGGAAUAUUGCACAAUGGGCGGAAGCCUGAUGCAGCAACGCCGCGUGCGGGAUGACGGCCUUCGGGUUGUAAACCGCUUUCGCCUGUGACGAAGCGUGAGUGACGGUAAUGGGUAAAGAAGCACCGGCUAACUACGUGCCAGCAGCCGCGGUGAUACGUAGGGUGCGAGCGUUGUCCGGAUUUAUUGGGCGUAAAGGGCUCGUAGGUGGUUGAUCGCGUCGGAAGUGUAGUCUUGGGGCUUAACCCUGAGCGUGCUUUCGAUACGGGUUGACUUGAGGAAGGUAGGGGAGAAUGGAAUUCCUGGUGGAGCGGUGGAAUGCGCAGAUAUCAGGAGGAACACCAGUGGCGAAGGCGGUUCUCUGGGCCUUUCCUGACGCUGAGGAGCGAAAGCGUGGGGAGCGAACAGGCUUAGAUACCCUGGUAGUCCACGCUGUAAACGGUGGGUACUAGGUGUGGGGUCCAUUCCACGGGUUCCGUGCCGUAGCUAACGCUUUAAGUACCCCGCCUGGGGAGUACGGCCGCAAGGCUAAAACUCAAAGGAAUUGACGGGGCCCCGCACAAGCGGCGGAGCAUGCGGAUUAAUUCGAUGCAACGCGUAGAACCUUACCUGGGUUUGACAUGGAUCGGGAGUGCUCAGAGAUGGGUGUGCCUCUUUUGGGGUCGGUUCACAGGUGGUGCAUGGCUGUCGUCAGCUCGUGUCGUGAGAUGUUGGGUUAAGUCCCGCAACGAGCGCAACCCUUGUUCACUGUUGCCAGCACGUUAUGGUGGGGACUCAGUGGAGACCGCCGGGGUCAACUCGGAGGAAGGUGGGGAUGACGUCAAGUCAUCAUGCCCCUUAUGUCCAGGGCUUCACGCAUGCUACAAUGGCUGGUACAGAGAGUGGCGAGCCUGUGAGGGUGAGCGAAUCUCGGAAAGCCGGUCUCAGUUCGGAUUGGGGUCUGCAACUCGACCUCAUGAAGUCGGAGUCGCUAGUAAUCGCAGAUCAGCAACGCUGCGGUGAAUACGUUCCCGGGGCU
This 1346-nucleotide ribosomal RNA is filed under the name uncultured bacterium. RNAcentral's name for it is "partial 16S ribosomal RNA". It matches the Rfam family "Bacterial small subunit ribosomal RNA", at positions 28 to 1381 of the family's 1533-position model. The record is from RNAcentral.